This 754-nucleotide ribosomal RNA is filed under the name Galerina atkinsoniana. Its description in RNAcentral is "eukaryotic LSU rRNA". It matches the Rfam family "Eukaryotic large subunit ribosomal RNA", at positions 78 to 817 of the family's 3401-position model. The record is from RNAcentral. Lineage: Eukaryota; Fungi; Basidiomycota; Agaricomycetes; Agaricales; Galerinaceae.
CCCUAGUAACUGCGAGUGAAGCGGGAAAAGCUCAAAUUUAAAAUCUGGCGGUCUUUGGCUGUCCGAGUUGUAAUCUAGAGAAGUGUUAUCCGCGCUGGACCGUGUACAAGUCUCCUGGAAUGGAGCGUCAUAGAGGGUGAGAAUCCCGUCUUUGACACGGACUGCCAGGGCUUUGUGAUGCGCUCUCAAAGAGUCGAGUUGUUUGGGAAUGCAGCUCAAAAUGGGUGGUAAAUUCCAUCUAAAGCUAAAUAUUGGCGAGAGACCGAUAGCGAACAAGUACCGUGAGGGAAAGAUGAAAAGAACUUUGGAAAGAGAGUUAAACMGUACGUGMVVBUGCUGAAAGGGWAACGCUUGAAGUCAGUCGCGUUGGCCAGGGAUCAACCUUGCUUUUGCUGGGCGUACUUCCUGGUUAAUGGGUCAGCAUCAAUUUUGACCGUUGGAUAAAGGUUAGGGGAAUGUGGCAUCUUCGGAUGUGUUAUAGCCCUUGGUCGCAUACAACGSUUGGGAUUGAGGAACUCAGCACGCCGCAAGGCCGGGUAUUUAUACCACGUUCGUGCUUAGGAUGCUGGCAUAAUGGCUUUAAUCGACCCGUCUUGAAACACGGACCAAGGAGUCUAACAUGCCUGCGAGUGUUUGGGUGGAAAACCCGAGCGCGUAAUGAAAGUGAAAGUUGAGAUCCCUGUCGUGGGGAGCAUCGACGCCCGGACCAGACCUUUUGUGACGGCUCCGCGGUAGAGCAUGUAUGUUGGGACCC